CUUAGUGGCGAACGGGUGAGUAACGCGUUGGUGACCUGCCCCGAAGAGGGGGAUAACAGUUCGAAAGGACUGCUAAUACCCCAUGUGGUCGUAGAGGUUAGAGGCUUUACCACUGAAGGAGCAAUCCACUUCUGGAGGGGCCUGCGUCCCAUCAUCUAGCUGGUAGGGUAAAAGCCUACCAUGGCUACGACGGGUAGGGGACCUGAGAGGGUGGCCCCCCACACUGGCACUGAAACACGGGCCAGACACCUACGGGUGGCAGCAGUAGGGAAUAUUGCACAAUGGGCGAAAGCCUGAUGCAGCAACGCAGAGUGCACGAUGAAGGCCUUCGGGUAGUAAAAUGCUUUUCUGGGGGAUGAGGAAGGACAGUAUCCCCGGCAUAAGGAUCGGCUAACUACGUGCCAGCACCCGCGGUAACACCUAGGAUCCGAGCGUUAUCCGAAUUGACUGGACGUAUAGCGCUUGCCCGCGGUUCGGUACGUUGGAUGUGAAAUGUCUUGGCUCAACUGGGAGAGGUCUUUCAAUACCGUCCGACUAGAGGGUGGUAGAGGGAGUUGGAAUUCCCGGUGUAGUGGUGAAAUUCGUAGAUAUCGUGAGGAACACCAGCGGCGAAGGUGGCCUCCUGGACCAUUCCUGUCGAUCUGACGCGAAAGUUAGGGGAGCGAACGGGAUUUGAAACCCCGGUAGUCCUAGCUGUAAAAGAUGUUGACUCGGCGUUGGUGGGGUAAAAGCCAUCAGUGCCGUAGCUAACCCGAUAAGUCAACCGCCU
Molecule: ribosomal RNA, 769 nt
Filed under: uncultured bacterium
Lineage: Bacteria
Description: bacterial SSU rRNA
Rfam family: Bacterial small subunit ribosomal RNA
Source: RNAcentral